GACGAACGCUGGCGGCGUGCUUAACACAUGCAAGUCGAACGGUGAUGCUCCAGCUUGCUGGAGUGGAUCAGUGGCGAACGGGUGAGUAACACGUGAGCAACCUGCCCCAGACUCUGGAAUAAGCGCUGGAAACGGCGUCUAAUACUGGAUACGAAACUGGCCCGCGUGGGCAUGGUUUGGAAAGUUUUUCGGUUUGGGAUGGUCUCGCGGCCUAUCAGCUUGUUGGUGAGGUAAUGGCUCACCAAGGCGACGACGGGUAGCCGGCCUGAGAGGGCGACCGGCCACACUGGGACUGAGACACGGCCCAGACUCCUACGGGAGGCAGCAGUGGGGAAUAUUGCACAAUGGGCGAAAGCCUGAUGCAGCGACGCCGCGUGAGGGAUGACGGCCUUCGGGUUGUAAACCUCUUUCAGCAGGGAAGAAGCGAAAGUGACGGUACCUGCAGAAGAAGCACCGGCUAACUACGUG
This 468-nucleotide ribosomal RNA is filed under the name uncultured bacterium. RNAcentral describes it as "partial 16S ribosomal RNA". It matches the Rfam family "Bacterial small subunit ribosomal RNA", at positions 28 to 507 of the family's 1533-position model. The record is from RNAcentral.